RNAcentral lists this ribosomal RNA (433 nucleotides) under uncultured organism. RNAcentral describes it as "bacterial SSU rRNA". It matches the Rfam family "Bacterial small subunit ribosomal RNA", at positions 30 to 507 of the family's 1533-position model. The record is from RNAcentral.
AUUGAACGCUGGCGGCAUGGCUAAAACAUGCAAGUCGAACGUGCCCGCAAGGGCAAGUGGCGAAAGGGUCAGUAACGCGAUCGAAUGUACCUAUGGGUUGAGGAUAGCCGUGGGAAACUGCGGGUAAUACUCGAUGAUGUCUCCGGACCAAAGAUUUAUCGCCCUAAGAGCAGCGAUCGUCCUAUCAGGUAGUUGGCGGGGUAAAGGCCCACCAAGCCUAAGACGGGUAGCAGGUGUGAGAGCACGACCUGCGACAUCGGGACUGAGACACUGCCCGGACUCCUACGGGAGGCUGCAGUAACGAAUCUUCCGCAAUGGGCGCAAGCCUGACGGAGCAAUGCCGCGUGUGGGAUGAAGCGGCUACGCCGUGUAAACCACUGUCAGGGACUAGAACCAAUGAUCAGUCCCAAAGGAAGAGCCGGCUAACCCUGUG